ACGAAAAGACCACGCGCAACCGCAGUCGUCGCUUCAGUCGCUCGGGGAUUACUUGUUACGCUCCGUUUUUGUUACGGCCACUGUUAUUGUUAUUCGCUUUUACCUUUCAGGUAGCUUAAAAAGUGAAACGACCCGUUAAGUUGACCACUCCAUGGUCCCACAAGUGAGCCGAAGGAGACGUUGUUGUACGAACACUUAUACAUUCAACAGUGUACAAAAGAAUGGCAGUGUUGACAAUACUAUGCCAUAGAAAUCGCUUAACGCUGGAUUCGCGUACAAUUUAUGUACAUAAGAAACCCAGCCCAUUUCAUCGCAAAGCUAAACUUGGAGAUUUUAUUAUUUGCGAAUGCUACCAGAGUAAUUUCUUUGGAGCGUGGAUAAAAGCUUUUUAAAAAUAAUUUGGGGGGUAUUAAAGAAAUCGCAGAGCGCCCAUUCAGCGUAAGUUUCUUACAUACAUAAUUUUGUUGAUCAAUAUAAAUUUUAAACGACAAAGCUCUGAGUUGAAUUCUGUGGCACCCCUGUAUAAUCCAAAAUGCUAUACACAGCUACAGAAAUACAUAAACUCCUAUGCGCCUUUUUAAGAAUAAAACAUUUAUUUACAUAUAAAGUGACUGGACACUGAUCGUUGAUUUCUCUCUAAUGUUGCCUAAAAUGCUAUUUUAUGCUCCCUUCCCAAGAUUUCAUCCGUUGGAAACGGUUGAACAAUGGCCGCGUUCAGCAAAACAUCGGGAUAACCGAUUACUGAUCUAUCAGUAACCAGUUAUCAUGUUGUUCUGCUGAACGCAGAGGAUACAUAUCGACGUUGAAAAGUUCUAGAGUAGUUUAGAGUGUAGAGUUUUUGACAAUUAAGCCUAGUACUCACAUCGACGAAAACAGCGAGCUAGCCAUAGGAGAGACCGAGAGGCAAAUAGGCGGCUAACGCUUUUCGUAGGGUCUGUUUUUCAUCGCGGUACUUAGAUGAGCUAAGGAAAUACCAGAAAAAAUACCGAAUUUAGGGAAUGAAUUUCGAUUAACGCCGUUAGCCACCGCGCAAGGAAAUAUGAAAUUGAUCUUUGGCUGUGUUGUUUGUCCUGGAGCGUCCUGUGAGAAGAGAAAUAAGUAUGACUAAUCCCAGCUGUGGAAGGGGCAUUACCAAAACAGGACAAAACCGCAGAAGAGUGAAAGUGCUGGAGGUAAUCCAACUGAGAAGCCCAUUGGAAAGGAGCAUGCCGAGUGGGAUUUCGCUUUCUAUUUAGACAUUCUGCAAAGAAAAACCACCAAUAAUACGAUCUCUGAGGAUCUCUCCAAUGGGGAAUCGCUGAACCCCACCACCACCAGCUACUUGGCAGCUAAACCCUAUUCACACAGAUGUUCACGCUUCAGCGACGUUUUCUUCCAUUAGAAAUACAACUAGCUUCAGUGCAAAAUGGGCAAAUCGUUUCAGCAUUUCAGUGCUUUUAUUCAGAAUUUUUUCGAAGUUAAAUAAUUUUUUUACUUGGUGUUUCAGUAUUUUUUUGAGAAGGCAGUACUUUUUUUUUAAGGAAAUGACUUACCUCCAGCUUAUGUCCUUCUUGACUAGACCUGGCACCUGUUGCACCAAACGUACAUUAUUUGUCUUAAGAAAUAGCCAUUUAAAGGCACAUCCUCCUCCCAAAAUUGGUAAAAAUUGUUGCUUAAAAAAAUGAUAUAGUCAAAGAACCGUAUACAAGGAAGUUGUUAAUGUCCAAACGAUUCUAACUUGUUAUAAUUCUCGUGGCGUCACUUUUGGCCCACAAACGUCCCAAUUCAAUAUUCACCACGCUGGUCAGAGUAGAAGUCUCAUCCUUUAUCAAUUUCCUAAUAGCAGUGAAAUAGUCAUUUGACGCCACAUGCUAGCGCUCAAAUUGAAUUUUUUAUUUCGUUGACUUUCUUUUUUUAGAGCAACUGAAUUUGCAUGUCCUUUCCCUUCGGAAACGGUUUGUUUAUGCCAAUCAGCUGUUCGCUUCAAUGAUUCUCUAUGUGAACAAGAAGCCGCUUUAUAUUGCAACAGCGAUAAAUGGAUGCAAGCGCGACCGUUUCAUAAUGAAAAUGGGCCAAAAAACGACAACUUAAAUAAAGUUUAACGAAAAAAAAAACAA
This is a non-coding RNA of Drosophila suzukii, 2096 nucleotides long. NCBI's taxonomy places the organism in Eukaryota, Metazoa, Arthropoda, Insecta, Diptera, Drosophilidae. The record is from RefSeq and is a predicted model, not a curated record.